CAGUCGCCGCGGGAAUACAGAGGGUGCGAGCGUUAAUCGGAUUUACUGGGCGUUAAGCGUGCGUAGGCGGCUUCUUAAGUCGGAUGUGAAAUCCCUGAGCUUAACUUAGGAAUUGCAUUCGAUACUGGGAAGCUAGAGUAUGGGAGAGGAUGGUAGAAUUCCAGGUGUAGCGGUGAAAUGCGUAGAGAUCUGGAGGAAUACCGAUGGCGAAGGCAGCCAUCUGGCCUAAUACUGACGCUGAGGUACGAAAGCAUGGGGAGCAAACAGGAUUAGAUACCCGCGUAGUCCCUGUCUCUUAUAC
This 301-nucleotide ribosomal RNA is filed under the name uncultured bacterium. RNAcentral's name for it is "partial 16S ribosomal RNA". It matches the Rfam family "Bacterial small subunit ribosomal RNA", at positions 509 to 807 of the family's 1533-position model. The record is from RNAcentral.